This 253-nucleotide ribosomal RNA is filed under the name uncultured bacterium. RNAcentral describes it as "partial 16S ribosomal RNA". It matches the Rfam family "Bacterial small subunit ribosomal RNA", at positions 524 to 776 of the family's 1533-position model. The record is from RNAcentral.
AACGUAGGAGACGAACGUUAUCCGGAGUUAAUGGGAGUAAAGGGGGUGUAGGCGGUUUGUUAAGUAUGGCGUGAAAGCUCUCGGCUAAACCGGGAGAGGUCGUUGGAUACUGGCGAACUAGAGGAUGGUAGAGGCGUGUGGAAUUCCGGGUGUAGUGGUGAAAUGCGUAGAUAUUGGGAGGAAAACCAGUGGAGAAGGCGGCUCACUGGACCGGAACUGACGCUGAGGCGCGAAAGCGUGGGGAGCAAACAGG